Mesocricetus auratus (golden hamster) is the source of this 1520-nucleotide long non-coding RNA. RefSeq lists it as uncharacterized. NCBI's taxonomy places the organism in Eukaryota, Metazoa, Chordata, Mammalia, Rodentia, Cricetidae. The record is from RefSeq and is a predicted model, not a curated record. The transcript is spliced from 4 exons.
CCUGAAGUGCCAAAGACAAAUCUAGUUACGGGUGUCUGGUGCUCUGUGACAAGUGGAAAAGUACCGAAGGCUGAAAACCCACCUAAGGGAGAAGAAGCUGGCUGUGGGACUGCUAACUGAAACUGUCCUGUGACUCACUGGGGAUGAGACUGCACAUAAUUACACACAUAAUGUCAAUCAGUUUUUGGAGUGUUUAAAAUAUCAUAAUUGUAGUCAGAAAGUGGUGACAUGUGAGCUCUCAGUCUCCAUAUCUCCUUUCAGCAUGCCUGCUGCCUGCUGCCUCACCCCUGCCAUUAUGGACUCUAACCCUCUGGGAGUGUAAGCCAAAACUAACCCUUUCUUCUAAAAUUAGCCUUAGUGAUGACAUUCUAUCUCAGCAAUAGAAAAGUGACUAAUACAGCAGGAUUCAAGAUUAUCUUCCCAUUCAUACUUCCAUCUCUCUGUUCAUUCAGUUUAUAAGAGCCAUCAGAGUCUAUUCUUCUACAAAACCACACCUGGAGAAACUACUGGUUUUCCCAAUUCUGGAGUAAAUAGCAAUGUGUGUCCUUAGCAAAUGAACAUGUUGCAGCAUCCUGAAGUAGAGAAAUCUGGAAAUCUCUGCACAGAGUCUGCUUCCAGCUGGAAGGCCACAAGGAAACUGAAUUCCAUGAUGAAUUCCAGCAAACAAAUUGAAGAGGAUUGAUCUUUUUAAACUGGCCUAUGGUAUUCAUCAUUUUAUUUUAUAGAUGAUUGUUGUGCUUGUCAUGUACCAUCCAAAGCAGAGUCCUUCAAGUUGAAAGUGAAUUUCAUUUUUCUUUCUCUUUCUCUCUCUCUCCCCCUCUCUUCCUCUGUCUCUCUCUCUCUUGCUUUCUCUUUUUAAAGAAGAAUUGUGAUCAUUUUACUUGAAAUGGACACUAAAGUAGAAAAAUAAACCCAGUGGCCCCCAUACUAUAUAAACGUAGAGAAUAAAUAAAGUUGGAAACGUGCUACCCUAAAAUCUACUGCAAUCUUGAAAUACAUGCCAAUCCAUACAUGCAAAUAAGAAUUAUAUCUGAAAAUAAUUUUGCAUCUAGUAUACACAAAAAUGAAUCCUAAUUCUAGUGUUCAGAUGUGUAUGACAUUCUCUGUUUUGGAAUUACUUAAAAAUAGUAUCUGGGGAAUCUGAAUAAAUUCUAUUCUUUUAUCUCUUACAUGAAAACUACAAAUUAAGAGAUCAUUGAAUAUUUAAAGUUAGGCCAGAGUCUUGGGGUAAAACUUGAAAGUAGGAGAGGGAAAAAUGCAGGCAAACCUAUUGAGAUUGGUGGAGGCCAAGCUUCCUGGAGGAGGCUCAGAACAACCGAGUCACAUGGAAAGGACAUUCUCCAACCUGCUGAGCUACCUGCAGGAUAUUUGGUGUGCUGGAGUUGCCUGCUGUUUUGGGGCUGUCAGUCAUGCUGAUGGGGCUUUUGUAGAUGAAGCCAUCUUUGAGUCAUUUCUGCUCCUGUAAGUAACCCGCCUUAGUGUUCUAUAAUAUCUAUAAUAAAACUCAUUGGUUUACCUUG